This 1302-nucleotide ribosomal RNA is filed under the name Pericoma sp. ZHK-2021. RNAcentral's name for it is "16S ribosomal RNA". The record is from RNAcentral. Lineage: Eukaryota; Metazoa; Arthropoda; Insecta; Diptera; Psychodidae.
UUUAAAAAUUUUUUAUUAAUUUUAUUAUUUUUUAAAAAAUAAUUUUUUUGUUUUAGUAUUUUUUAAAGAAAAAAUGAUUUUUAUUAUAGUUUAUUAGUAUUGUAAAAGAAAAAUGAAAAUUUAUAUUUUUAUAUUAAAAGAAGAUUUAUUUAAUUGUACCUUGUGUAUCAGGGUUGAUCAAAAAUAUAAUAUUAAUAUAUAUUUAUCUCGAAUUAAAAAGAUUUAAUUAUAAAUGAUUUAGUUAUUGUAACAUAAUUAUUAUAAAUUUAUAAUUAGAAAUGAAACGUUAUUCGUUUUUUAAUAUAUCUAGUUUUUUAAGAAAUAAAUUUAAUUUAGAUAUUUUUUUUAUUAUUAUUAUUUAUUUAAUAAUAAUAUAAAUUAAUGUUAGUAAUUUAAGGGAUAAGCUUUAAAUUAAAUUUUUAUAAAUUAUUUUUUAUUCAAUAAAAUAUAGGCUUAGAAUUAGCUUUUUUUAAUAAAUUUGUUAUAAUUUAUUUUUAUUAUUAAAAAAUUUAUUAAAUUUUAGAUUUUUAUUAAAAUUUUUAUUAAAAUUAAAAAAAUAAAAUAAUAAUGAUUAAAUUAGUAUAAAUUAUUUAUUUAAAUUAAUAUAAUUGAAAGGUUUAAUUAAGGAAUUCGGCAAAUAUAAUAUUUGCCUGUUUAUCAAAAACAUGUCUUUUUGAAAUAUAUUUAAAGUCUGGCCUGCCCACUGAAAUUUUAAAUGGCCGCAGUAUUUUGACUGUGCAAAGGUAGCAUAAUCAUUAGUUUUUUAAUUGAAAGCUCGUAUGAAUGGUUUAACAAAAUAUUAACUGUCUUAAUUAAAAUUUUAUUAAAACUUUAUUUUUUAGUUAAAAAGCUAAAAUUUUUUUAAAGGACGAGAAGACCCUAUAGAUCUUUAUAAUAAUAAUAUUUUUAAAUUAUUUAGAAGUUUUAAAUUAAUAAUAUUUUUAUUAUUUUAUUGGGGUGAUAAUAAAAUUUAAAAAACUUUUAUUUUACUUUACAUUGAUUUAUGACUUUAUGAUCCAUUAUUUAUGAUUAAAAAAUUAAGUUACCUUAGGGAUAACAGCGUUAUAUUUUUAGAGAGUUCUUAUCGAUAAAAAUGAUUGCGACCUCGAUGUUGAAUUAAGAGAUAUUUUAGAUGCAGCAGUUUAAUAAUAAAGUCUGUUCGACUUAUAAAUUCUUACAUGAUUUGAGUUCAAACCGGCGUGAGCCAGGUUGGUUUCUAUCCUUAAAUAAUUAAAAUAUUUUAGUACGAAAGGAUUAAAUAUUUAAAAUAAUUUUUUAAAAAAAGAAUAAAAUUAAUUUAAU